Molecule: ribosomal RNA, 497 nt
Filed under: uncultured bacterium
Lineage: Bacteria
Description: partial 16S ribosomal RNA
Rfam family: Bacterial small subunit ribosomal RNA
Source: RNAcentral
GAUGAACGCUGGCGGCGUGCCUAAUACAUGCAAGUCGAGCGAACAGACGAGGAGCUUGCUCCUCUGACGUUAGCGGCGGACGGGUGAGUAACACGUGGAUAACCUACCUAUAAGACUGGGAUAACCUCGGGAAACCGGAGCUAAUACCGGAUAACAUGUUGAACCGCAUGGUUCAACAGUGAAAGACGGUCUUGCUGUCACUUAUAGAUGGAUCCGCGCCGCAUUAGCUAGUUGGUAAGGUAACGGCUUACCAAGGCAACGAUGCGUAGCCGACCUGAGAGGGUGAUCGGCCACACUGGAACUGAGACACGGUCCAGACUCCUACGGGAGGCAGCAGUAGGGAAUCUUCCGCAAUGGGCGAAAGCCUGACGGAGCAACGCCGCGUGAGUGAAGAAGGUCUUCGGAUCGUAAAACUCUGUUAUUAGGGAAGAACAAAUGUGUAAGUAACUAUGCACGUCUUGACGGUACCUAAUCAGAAAGCCACGGCUAACUACGUG